RNAcentral lists this ribosomal RNA (497 nucleotides) under uncultured bacterium. Its description in RNAcentral is "partial 16S ribosomal RNA". It matches the Rfam family "Bacterial small subunit ribosomal RNA", at positions 28 to 507 of the family's 1533-position model. The record is from RNAcentral.
GACGAACGCUGGCGGCGUGCCUAAUACAUGCAAGUUGAGCGAUGAAGCUUGGUGCUUGCCCCAAUUUGAAGAGCAGCGAACGGGUGAGUAACGCGUGGGGAAUCUGCCUUUGAGCGGGGGACAACAUUUGGAAACGAAUGCUAAUACCGCAUAAUAACUUUAAACAUAAGUUUUAAGUUUGAAGGAUGCAAUUGCAUCACUCAAAGAUGAUCCCGCGUUGUAUUAGCUAGUUGGUGAGGUAAAGGCUCACCAAGGCGAUGAUACAUAGCCGACCUGAGAGGGUGAUCGGCCACAUUGGGACUGAGACACGGCCCAAACUCCUACGGGAGGCAGCAGUAGGGAAUCUUCGGCAAUGGACGAAAGUCUGACCGAGCAACGCCGCGUGAGUGAAGAAGGUUUUCGGAUCGUAAAACUCUGUUGGUAGAGAAGAACGUUGGUGAGAGUGGAAAGCUCAUCAAGUGACGGUAACUACCCAGAAAGGGACGGCUAACUACGUG